RNAcentral lists this ribosomal RNA (497 nucleotides) under uncultured bacterium. Its description in RNAcentral is "partial 16S ribosomal RNA". It matches the Rfam family "Bacterial small subunit ribosomal RNA", at positions 28 to 507 of the family's 1533-position model. The record is from RNAcentral.
GAUGAACGCUGGCGGCGUGCCUAAUACAUGCAAGUCGAGCGAACAGACGAGGAGCUUGCUCCUCUGACGUUAUCGGCGGACGGGUGAGUAACACGUGGAUAACCUACCUAUAAGACUGGGAUAACUUCUGGAAACCGGAGCUAAUACCGGAUAAUAUAUUGAACCGCAUGGUUCAAUAGUGAAUGACGGUUUUGCUGUCACUUAUAGAUGGAUCCGCGCCGCAUUAGCUAGUUGGUAAGGUAACGGCUUACCAAGGCGACGAUGCGUAGCCGACCUGAGAGGGUGAUCGGCCACACUGGAACUGAGACACGGUCCAGACUCCUACGGGAGGCAGCAGUAGGGAAUCUUCCGCAAAGGGCGAAAGCCUGACGGAGCAACGCCGCGUGAGUGAUGAAGGUCUUCGGAUCGUAAAACUCUGUUAUUAGGGAAGAACAAAUGUGUAAGUAACUAUGCACGUCUUGACGGUACCUAAUCAGAAAGCCACGGCUAACUACGUG